GUCCUCCAUUGAUGCAUGAGGAAGAAGCAAUGGAGCUACAGGGUGGAGUCUCAUUGUCUCCUUCACGACAAGGUAUAAAUACUCGAGGCUGUCAAUAUCUGAUUCUUCCACCAUUCGGUUCAUGCCCACCACGUUUUCCAACUCCUUUUGGACUUUGUUAAGUGUUCUUGGAUGCUUCAUGAGUUCUGAUAAUGUCCAUUCAAUUGCAGUUGAUGAGGUGUCCGUUGCUCCUGCAAGCAUGUCCUGAACGUACACCCAUCCAUUAGAGACCCUGGAACAGAUAUAAACAAGCUAUACAUCCCAAACUAUAAAACUUUACUUUAGUCUAGUAUUUAUUUAUAUUAUGUUUAACUUAAGUUACGC
Molecule: long non-coding RNA, 363 nt
Filed under: Carica papaya (papaya)
Lineage: Eukaryota; Viridiplantae; Streptophyta; Magnoliopsida; Brassicales; Caricaceae
Description: long non-coding RNA (CPAP_LNC007237)
Source: RNAcentral